AAAAUCAGAGAAAGCAUGGUUCUGAAACAUUGGAAGGUUAGAUGUCUGAAGUGUUUUUCAUUGGACCAAAAUCAAGGUGUUGGCUGGGCUACCUUCCCUUCUGGAGACUCUAAGGAAGAAUCCAUUUCCUUGUCUUUUCCAGAUCCUAGAGGCUACCUGCAUUCCUUGGCUUUUAUCCCCAAUCUUCCAUCUUCGGAGCCAGCAACAAUAUAUUGAUCAUGAGGAGAGGGCUCACCCCUCACCCGGAGAAGUAGUUGGGGAAGCAAUAUGCGGAAACAAAGCCAUGAAUCUGACAAGAAAUGUACUUAAGAUUGUAUAUAUGGAGAUGAAUACCCAUUGUCCUUUGCACUUUCUGGAUGAUAAAUUAGAAAAGAAAAAUCCAAAGAAUGAAGUUGUGCUAUUUGUCCUCACUUCUGAUUUGGGAAACUAGAGGAAAUUAAGAUGGGAAAAGACCAUGUGAGGACACAGUGAGAAGGAGACCAUAUGCAAAGCAGGAAGGAAGAUCUCACUGGAACCAAAAACCAGCCCUGCUGGCACCCUGAUCUUGGACUUCUAGCCUUUCUCAGAACUGUGAGAAAAUAAAUUUCUGAUGUUUC
This 596-nucleotide long non-coding RNA is filed under the name Homo sapiens (human). Its description in RNAcentral is "HSALNT0391292". Lineage: Eukaryota; Metazoa; Chordata; Mammalia; Primates; Hominidae. The record is from RNAcentral.